This 37-nucleotide ribosomal RNA is filed under the name Oxyopes javanus. RNAcentral's name for it is "partial 28S ribosomal RNA". Lineage: Eukaryota; Metazoa; Arthropoda; Arachnida; Araneae; Oxyopidae. The record is from RNAcentral.
CCGCCGAAUUUAAGCAUAUCAAAAGCCCGGAGGACAA